This is a long non-coding RNA of Vidua chalybeata, 369 nucleotides long. RefSeq lists it as uncharacterized. The record is from RefSeq and is a predicted model, not a curated record. The transcript has 4 exons. NCBI's taxonomy places the organism in Eukaryota, Metazoa, Chordata, Aves, Passeriformes, Viduidae.
GCAAACAUCAUUGUAUUACUUGGGAUAAAGGUGGGGACCUGUGAAAAUACCCCAGUGGAACCAGACAACUGAAACAAUAGCAGUCGCCAACAGGACAUUUGAAAUACAUACCAGUGUGGAGUGAAGUGCAGAGUGCCCCUCUUCCACCUCAGCUGCCCUCCAGGAUGAGCUGAGCCUAACUGAGCCUGUGUGUCCCUGUGUGUCUCUGCUGCCUGGAGUUGUCAGAGAGGGUUGAUCUCAGCAACAUCACUGUUAGAACUUGUGCAGACAGAUGCAGCUUGGGUUGGAUCAUCCAAAUGCAUCCUAGACUGGGUGUGUUGGCUGAAAUCCAUUGCAGCACUCACAGAAGCCCUCUAGAUGGGAAAGCAC